AGAGUUUGAUCAUGGCUCAGGACGAACGCUGGCGGCGUGCUUAACACAUGCAAGUCGAACGAUGAAGGCCGUGCUUGCACGGCUGGAUUAGUGGCGAACGGGUGAGUAACACGUGAGUAACCUGCCCUUCACUCUGGGAUAACCUCGGGAAAUCGGGGCUAAUACCGGAUAUGAGUGUCCACUGCAUGGUGGAUGCUGGAAAGUUUUUCGGUGAAGGAUGGACUCGCGGCCUAUCAGUUUGUUGGUGAGGUAAUGGCUCACCAAGACGAUGACGGGUAGCCGGCCUGAGAGGGCGACCGGCCACACUGGGACUGAGACACGGCCCAGACUCCUACGGGAGGCAGCAGUGGGGAAUAUUGCACAAUGGGCGAAAGCCUGAUGCAGCGACGCCGCGUGAGGGAUGACGGCCUUCGGGUUGUAAACCUCUUUCAGUAGGGAAGAAGCGAAAGUGACGGUACCUGCAGAAGAAGCGCCGGCUAACUACGUGCCAGCAGCCGCGGUAAUAC
Molecule: ribosomal RNA, 506 nt
Filed under: uncultured bacterium
Lineage: Bacteria
Description: bacterial SSU rRNA
Rfam family: Bacterial small subunit ribosomal RNA
Source: RNAcentral